This 373-nucleotide ribosomal RNA is filed under the name uncultured bacterium. RNAcentral describes it as "bacterial SSU rRNA". It matches the Rfam family "Bacterial small subunit ribosomal RNA", at positions 365 to 758 of the family's 1533-position model. The record is from RNAcentral.
UCGAUCGUGGGCGCAGCCUGUCUAGCCUGCCGCGUGAGCGAUGAAGGCCUUAGGGUUGUAAAGCUCUUUCAGGGGGGAAGAUAAUGACUGUACCCCCAGAAGAAGCCCCGGCUAACUCCGUGCCAGCAGCCGCGGUAAUACGGAGGGGGCUAGCGUUGUUCGGAAUUACUGGGCGUAAAGCGCACGUAGGCGGACGGAGAAGUCAGAGGUGAAAUCCCAGGGCUCAACCUUGGAACUGCCUUUGAAACUUUCUGUCUUGAGGUCGAGAGAGGUGAGUGGAAUUCCGAGUGUAGAGGUGAAAUUCGUAGAUAUUCGGAGGAACACGAGUGGCGAAGGCGGCUCACUGGCUCGAUACUGACGCUGAGGUGCGAAA